CACGUAGUUAGCCGUGGCUUAUUCGUCAGGUACCGUCACUUUCUUCGUCCCUGACAAAAGAAGUUUACAACCCGAGGGCCUUCUUCCUUCACGCGGCGUUGCUGGGUCAGGCUUGCGCCCAUUGCCCAAUAUUCCCCACUGCUGCCUCCCGUAGGAGUCUGGGCCGUGUCUCAGUCCCAAUGUGGCCGGCCAACCUCUCAGUCCGGCUACUGAUCGUCGUCUUGGUGGGCCGUUACCCCGCCAACAAACUAAUCAGACGCGAGGCCAUCUUAGAGCGAUAAAUCUUUGGCAGUCAGAGCCAUGCGACCCAACUGCAUUAUGCGGUAUUAGCAGCCAUUUCUGGCUGUUAUUCCCCACUCCAAGGCAGGUUCCUCACGCGUUACUCACCCGUCCGCCACUAGGUAGUCCAUUCAGUUGGCCGAAGCCUCCGUCAUGGGUACCCCGUUCGACUUGCAUGUGUUAAGCACGCCGCCAGCGUUCAUCCUGAGCCAGGAUCAAACUCU
This 503-nucleotide ribosomal RNA is filed under the name uncultured Oscillospiraceae bacterium. RNAcentral describes it as "partial 16S ribosomal RNA". Lineage: Bacteria; Bacillati; Bacillota; Clostridia; Eubacteriales; Oscillospiraceae. The record is from RNAcentral.